This 253-nucleotide ribosomal RNA is filed under the name uncultured bacterium. RNAcentral's name for it is "partial 16S ribosomal RNA". It matches the Rfam family "Bacterial small subunit ribosomal RNA", at positions 524 to 776 of the family's 1533-position model. The record is from RNAcentral.
UACGUAGGGUGCGAGCGUUAAUCGGAAUUACUGGGCGUAAAGCGUGCGCAGGCGGUUUUGUAAGCCCGAUGUGAAAUCCCCGGGCUUAACCUGGGAAUGGCAUUUGGGACUGCAAGGCUUGAGUUUGGCAGAGGAGACUGGAAUUCCUGGUGUAGCAGUGAAAUGCGUAGAUAUCAGGAGGAAUACCGAUGGCGAAGGCAGGUCUCUGGGCUAGAACUGACGCUCAUGCACGAAAGCGUGGGGAGCAAACAGG